Molecule: unclassified non-coding RNA, 345 nt
Filed under: soil metagenome
Description: partial contains 5.8S ribosomal RNA, internal transcribed spacer 2, and large subunit ribosomal RNA
Rfam family: 5.8S ribosomal RNA (bases 1-120)
Source: RNAcentral
GAUGAAGAACGUAGCGAAAUGCGAUACGUAAUGUGAAUUGCAGAAUUCAGUGAAUCAUCGAGUCUUUGAACGCACAUUGCGCCCCCUGGUAUUCCGGGGGGCAUGCCUGUCCGAGCGUCAUCGCUGCCCUCAAGCACGGCUUGUGUGUUGGGCCUCCGUCCUCCUCCCGGGGGACGGGCCCGAAAGGCAGCGGCGGCACCGCGUCCGGUCCUCGAGCGUAUGGGGCUUCGUCACCCGCUCUUGUAGGCCCGGCCGGCGCUUGCCGACACAUCAAUCUUUUUUCCAGGUUGACCUCGGAUCAGGUAGGGAUACCCGCUGAACUUAAGCAUAUCAAUAAGCGGAGGA